RNAcentral lists this non-coding RNA (21 nucleotides) under Rattus norvegicus (Norway rat). The record is from RNAcentral. Lineage: Eukaryota; Metazoa; Chordata; Mammalia; Rodentia; Muridae.
CGGAGAGAUGGUGGGACCUGC